AGAUGAUUGGAGAGGAGAAGAUCUUUGGUUGAAAAGAAGUAAAAAGCUGCAGGGUGAAUGACGUCUUCUGCAUGUGCCACAGAGGCAGCAGAGCUCUAUACAGGGACCAGGGUGGAAGGAGGAGUGAGUACGUAGUCAUUGACCUACAGGGACGUGAAACACAUCUCUGGAAUCUCAUGCUGACUGUCUAAUCUUUUUGUCUAGGCUCUGCUGUUUAUUUUGAACAGAAGAGCAAUAGAAGAACUGAGGUUUCCAGAGGAGGGCUUUACCAUGCCACGCAUCUCUCCAGAAACCUAAAGAAGAUGACAUCCAGCAAACCAUGGUCUGCGCAUGGAGCAAGACUUCUUUGGUGUGCAUGAAAAGGCUACUUCAAGGCCAAGGAGCUGCAGAGCACAGAAGAGGCUGUGUGCAGUGGCUCACCCAGGGGCACGCGAGCGAUGCCGUUGUUCCUCCUGCAGCCUAGAACAGCACAGAAAUACCAACGUUGUCCCUCUUUCUCACUGUAAGGAAAUAGGUUGUGGCUCCUUCUUCCUUCCUACACCCACAAGUAUAGUCCAGGCAAGCAGUGGGGAGGCUGCAGAGAGGUCCGUCCCUUUUUCCAGGGCAUGGAAGAGCAGAUGAUUUUGCCUGCAGUGCUCAUAAAAAAAAAAAAAUUGAUUUCUUUCAUCUCUUUCCUGAGCAAAGGCCAGUGCUGAGCCUAGCAGAUUAUUCAAUAAUGUCCCAUAAAAAUAUUAAACUUCUGUAUCGGAACCAAAUUAAAAUUGUAUUUCAUGAUGUGAACAAAGGUACCCAAGUUGACUUCGUCUCUCG
Molecule: long non-coding RNA, 810 nt
Filed under: Numida meleagris (helmeted guineafowl)
Lineage: Eukaryota; Metazoa; Chordata; Aves; Galliformes; Numididae
Description: lncRNA (ENSNMEG00000017117.1)
Source: RNAcentral